UGCAGUAUUGACUGGACAGCCUUCUCGAAUU
This 31-nucleotide non-coding RNA is filed under the name Mus musculus (house mouse). The record is from RNAcentral. Lineage: Eukaryota; Metazoa; Chordata; Mammalia; Rodentia; Muridae.